Lolium perenne is the source of this 856-nucleotide non-coding RNA. Lineage: Eukaryota; Viridiplantae; Streptophyta; Magnoliopsida; Poales; Poaceae. The record is from RefSeq and is a predicted model, not a curated record.
CAGUAGGAGAGAACUUGACCUGGAGCUGCCCGGUCCGGUGUGACAUGGCCUUUCUAGCUCCGGUGAUGCUGCUGUUGCUGUGUUGGCACACCUUGUGCAUGGUUUUAGGCCUGACCAUCCCUUGGCUUCGACUACCUUGCUUCUCGCCGUCGUGCUAUGACCGCGAGUUCAUCGUGCCGCAACCACUGUGGUGGUGAUUCUCUGCCUCGUCUACAACCUCUUGAGGUUUCCUCUGUGGCCUCCUGAUGGUGGCCACGAUGGUGAGUGUUGGGUUGACCAUGGCCUCCUGUAGUGCAGUUGUAGGCCAUGCUUGGCCCUCUCGGCCUCCUUUUCUUCCUUUGGUUGGUGACAUGGCCCUUGUGCUCGCCAUACCAUAACCAUGGUGGCGCUGGCCUCACCUCCCUGCUGGUGAUAGGAUGUGCAUGCAGCAGGUUGCUGUGGCCCAUCUCGUGAAGGGGAGGAGUUGAGCUGGAGAUCCGGCCGUACAUGCUUUCUUUGUUGAUUUCAUUGACGCAGUGCCGUGUUCACUGCCUGUUAGGUUAAUAAUGAGUUGCCGGUGGACUGCUGUCCUUGUUUGGCCUGGAGCAUCUACGUGGAUGGAAGGUCCUUUUUUUUUUAUGUAAUGUUGGUAUUAGAAAUUUCUUCGGCUGAUCAUAUUCAACCUAGCGGGAGAGAUCCAUGUAGGUUCUUUGUAUGCCAAAAUUGAGAGAACUAACAUUUCACAAUGUUGAGAGAUGCACAUACUGUUUGUUUUGUUUUCUUCUUCCUUGCUGUAUUGAUGUAGAAUCGACACACUUUUGAAUGUGUGGAACAUAUUACAUAUACUUGCUUAGAAAUAGUUUCCAUUACAUCUCAA